CACUUCUAAAGGAUAAGUUGUGAAUGUAAAAAAAAUACCAAAAAAGCUGGAGUGGUGUCUCCGAAUGCCACAGACCGAUUGAAAGAAGUCAAUGGCAGUGGUUUUGUGGACAAGAGAUGGUUUCUCACAGAAUAAAUGAUCAAAUCUAUCAGUGCUGUGAAAUGAAGGGGAAUAACAGAGAUACUAAACAGAGAAGGGAAAGAGAGAAGAGAUGGAAAGAUUCAGUGACACCAUUUGGGCAGCAGAACUACUCAAGAUGCCCUGGAAUGUUCUGGAAGUCUGGCCUCUCUGCUGUCACACACCCAUCUGUGAAUGAUGUUCUCCUCUACAGUAGGAUGACUGAAGGGGGCAGAAAAAGGGAAGGCCGUUGACUGAACGGUAAUAGAGGCUGCAUUUUUAACGUUUGCUGCAAGUGGCUCUACUUCGAAGACUAUAUGGUUAUACAAUCAUCAGAAACAUUCCUAACAGAUUUACGGAGCUGUAGACAAAUUUUUAAAAUAAAUUUUAUUUAAAUUAUUAAUAAUUGCUGUAA
This 532-nucleotide long non-coding RNA is filed under the name Felis catus (domestic cat). Its description in RNAcentral is "lncRNA (ENSFCAG00000045940.2)". The record is from RNAcentral. Lineage: Eukaryota; Metazoa; Chordata; Mammalia; Carnivora; Felidae.